Molecule: ribosomal RNA, 484 nt
Filed under: uncultured bacterium
Lineage: Bacteria
Description: partial 16S ribosomal RNA
Rfam family: Bacterial small subunit ribosomal RNA
Source: RNAcentral
AUUGAACGCUGGCGGCAGGCCUAACACAUGCAAGUCGAGCGGAUGAAGGGAGCUUGCUCCUGGAUUCAGCGGCGGACGGGUGAGUAAUGCCUAGGAAUCUGCCUGGUAGUGGGGGAUAACGUCCGGAAACGGGCGCUAAUACCGCAUACGUCCUGAGGGAGAAAGUGGGGGAUCUUCGGACCUCACGCUAUCAGAUGAGCCUAGGUCGGAUUAGCUAGUUGGUGGGGUAAAGGCCUACCAAGGCGACGACCCGUAACUGGUCUGAGAGGAUGAUCAGUCACACUGGAACUGAGACACGGUCCAGACUCCUACGGGAGGCAGCAGUGGGGAAUAUUGGACAAUGGGCGAAAGCCUGAUCCAGCCAUGCCGUGUGUGUGAAGAAGGUCUUCGGAUUGUAAAGCACUUUGAGUUGGGAGGAAGGGCAGUAAGUUAAUACCUUGCUGUUUUGACGUUACCAACAGAAUAAGCACCGGCUAACUUCGUG